UGAGAUGCAGAAUGACACGUCUAAAUAUUACACCACCAAGAGGACCCUUUCUGGCUCCCGUGGUAGCUGCAGACGCAUGUCAGCCUGCUGGUCGUGGGAGGAGGCUGUGACGAGCUCAGUCCUUGAAGCAAGAGUGAUGCCCACCACCAGGCGAGUGGGUGGAGGUCCACAGCCACUGUGAGCACAGUGGUGGGUGGGGGUGAGGGGCCCUGGGGUGCCCAGGCGUCCACACGUGGACCCGAGAACAGCGGGGAUGACAUGCUCGGGAGCCCUGCUUGGGCGGCCUCCUGGGUGUUGAAGGCCCCAGGGCCUGAGCCUCUGCCCGCAGUUUCGGGUUAUGAGCCAUUGACACUGGUCGUGCCCUGGGCCCCAGCAGACGCUGGCUGAUGGGCUGGUUUCCGUGUGACAGCCUGUCCAGGUGACGGGCUGAGCCAGGCCCCCCAAGGCGCAUGUCCUCCUGAUGCGGCCAGAAGAGAAGUGUGGUGGUUCUCACUGCAUCCGGAGGACCACGCGCUCUUGUUAAUCCUGAAGGUCUCUACAGCCUAAAUCAACAGAAAGAGGUCGAGGGGAGGGUUUGGAGAUUGGAGACUGUUCAACACCUGGCCCUGGUCCUUCCAGCCUGGUGACCUCAGGCUGGCCACCUGCCCUCUCUGGACUGCAGUGUUGUCACCCGAGAGAGCAGAAAGAGGCCCAGUGAAGAGCCC
This 704-nucleotide long non-coding RNA is filed under the name Bos indicus x Bos taurus (hybrid cattle). RNAcentral's name for it is "lncRNA (ENSBIXG00005024086.1)". The record is from RNAcentral. Lineage: Eukaryota; Metazoa; Chordata; Mammalia; Artiodactyla; Bovidae.